Molecule: ribosomal RNA, 160 nt
Filed under: Scedosporium apiospermum
Lineage: Eukaryota; Fungi; Ascomycota; Sordariomycetes; Microascales; Microascaceae
Description: 5.8 S ribosomal RNA
Rfam family: 5.8S ribosomal RNA
About the family: 5.8S ribosomal RNA (5.8S rRNA) is a component of the large subunit of the eukaryotic ribosome.
Source: RNAcentral
UUAAAACUUUCAACAACGGAUCUCUUGGUUCUGGCAUCGAUGAAGAACGCAGCGAAAUGCGAUAAGUAAUGUGAAUUGCAGAAUUCAGUGAAUCAUCGAAUCUUUGAACGCACAUUGCGCCCGGCAGUAAUCUGCCGGGCAUGCCUGUCCGAGCGUCAUU